This 3150-nucleotide long non-coding RNA is filed under the name Penaeus japonicus. Its description in RNAcentral is "uncharacterized LOC122266243". Lineage: Eukaryota; Metazoa; Arthropoda; Malacostraca; Decapoda; Penaeidae. The record is from RNAcentral.
AAUCAAUUAUGGAACCAAUGUGACAUACAAACUCUGUAGAAAUUGGAAAGAUAUCACCCACCUCAACAUUGUUUUCCCCAAAUGGGACUCAACCAGGGGAUGUGAUAAGAAUAAAUUAGGCUUGCGGAGCAAAUGUGCCCGAGGCCAGUCCACCUGUGUCAGUGUGUGCCGACUCAUGAGAGAAUGUGCCAACGAGUGUUGACUUGACCUGAGCUUGGUCCUUACCAACCGUAUUGCCCAGGCACGGUGGUGACCACCAGGCGACAGUGGAAACUGACAAGCUUGGAUGGGGCUCGAUCCGCUCACCACGACUGUGCUACCUAGUGGCUCAGGGGAUGUGGUUAAUUGAUUGAGCAAGCUAGACAUUUACUAGAACAGUUCUUACCACGCAUACUUCAUACUUUCACAUUUUAUUUAUCUAGUUUUGCUUUAUAUUGUAUCAUGAAAGUUUUUAUUUUUUAAACAAGAUACUGGAUGUAUGGAUGAAAAUUUAAAGUAUUUCCCACGUAAAUGGGUUGUAUUAAUACUGUCUACAAGACUGAAAGCUUUUAGCCUUUGGACCUACAGUCCAUUAAUCAGAAGGCAAUUCCAUGUAGAAUAAUCAACUGCUUAUCACAUAAUAGGUUUGAAGAAUUCCAAAACACAUUUGGUAUCUGCAAGGAUUAUGGGUGGGUUUAUUUUACAAAUCAUAAAAAAUAAUUAUAUCCUUCACAGUGUAUCAUCAGUUCAACAAAAUCUUAUAUCAUUUAAGAGUUCAAAUGCAAAUUUUCAUAGGAAAAUUAGUUAACAAUAGACAUACUUUUGUUACAGUUUGACAAUAAAACCUGCUAAUAUUUCCAUCCUAUGGGCUUAGGUAAUCCUCUUUAGUUAUCUAAAAUAUAAAUAGAUAUCAAUUUUCUGUUAACAUUAUUUCCAAUUACCCAAAAGAUUUUAAAAUCUAAGACUUUUUUCUUUGAAAUGAAGACAAACAACAAACAGAUGAAAAGGCAACAACUAAACAUUUUUGUAGCAAUAUAUCUGGUAGUAAGUAAAGUUUUUGAGUAACAAAUGUAUUCAUCACAGAUAUCAUCCUUUAUCCUAUACUGUAUAUUGUUAUGGUGCCUCAACCAAAUUACAUUUAAUAUGAACAAAUAUAUACCAAGAUUUAGAUGAUAUUCACAUUCUCCUUAUCCCUAAGCUGUGACGAAACCGGUUCUUUUGGGGACGGAAUGAAUUUCACAGAUAAAUUACAGACUUGCAAAUUCAACGUAGUAGUUAAUAUAUGUAUGGUGGGAAACUUAUCUAAGCUUAUUCAAGAUGAUCAUGUGUGGAGCAUCUGAUAAGUGAAUAAAAACUUUAAAAUUCUCUCACCAAAUACUAGUGGAUAAUGUGUAGCCUUAUUGUAAUAAUAUAAGUAUGAAGGCACAAAAUCAUCAGUAGAAAUACUGAAUGGGUCAUUGAAGAAAGGACCCUUGGUGAGAACCAACAAUGUGUCAAUAGUGCAGACUUAUGAUACUGGACUUUUAUAUAAUGUAUGUACAUAAUGGAUAAAGCCACUUACAGUAUCUCCUGAGGAUAAGCAAUACUCCAUACUAUUUAUGGAUACAAUUGGUAUGGCUUUCUGAUUAAAUACAAAUACAUUAAUAUGAAAAGCAAAAAACAGAAGAAAAGAGAGAAAGUGAUAAAGAAAAAAAAAAUAUACACACAUGUAAAGCAUGGUGGGUGCAAAUGUAUGUACAUAGCGCGUGUGUCUCACUGUAUAUCUAUGGAAGUAUAUUUUGAUUGUUCUGCCUUCUAACUCUAGUGUCUAACUAAUUAUAUAUAACAAGAAGUAUCAUAAUUAUAUAUAUAUAUAUAUAUAAAAUAAACUUCAUAGUUUCACAGACUGAUUAAUUGAAUUGAAGAAAAUGAUAAACUGAAUAUAGGAAGCAAUGAAUUUGAAAUAUUUGUUGUAACAGCAUAAUUGCCUCCCAUUACUAAUGACCAUUCACUUCCAAAGCCUAUCUUAAAAGUUACUGUGAUUCAACUUAAGGUGAUUUUUGCUCCGUCCAGUCUAACGCUGGGGUAUUUCGACACAACAAUUUUUACCACCAUAUGACGGCGACGAGAUAUUUGGUCAAGGCCGGUGCACCGGGUGAGCGGGCGUAAAGCGCUCGCUCGUAGCUAGUGCUCUCGAGAACCCCGAGGCAUUAGGCUUAUGCGUUCGAAUACCCCGGCAUUCCAACCAUUUAGAGCCGGAAUAGUCCUGGCGUGAAUGGGUUAACAACAUCAUGCUAUACUACUGUAAUAAAUCUAUAAUUUUAACAUAAAAGGAAUAAAAUUUAUUUAUAGAUCUAACAUAAUAACUAAAAUUACAAUUGGAAUUUUGGGAUAACAAAAUAUAACAUUCUCAUAACCUUUAAAACAUUAUAUCAUCUUAGAGACUAUUUGAUAUUUAAUCAUACUGGACAUUUGAUGGGUAUAUACAUCCACAAAAAGUAUGUUUUAUGCAUUUAUAAUCUCUUAUAUUUCCAAGGAUUAGAAACAUGUAGAACUGUGAUUAUACUGCACAAUAAAGCACUUAAUAAUAAAAAAUUAUAUUCUGAAACCCCAGGUAUAAUCAAAAUAAUUGUAUUAUAUGUAUUUAUCUCUGUGUGAGUGUGAGGGUUGCUAAUGCUUUCCUGUUUUCUUCCCCUUUCCUGUAGGGUAAACUGUUGCACAUUGCAUUUAAACACUUUGCCUGCCAGGAAUGACAGCUACAUUACUUCCGAAAGGUAACAGCUGACACAGGAAGGAUGGGCUGGCUGAUCCUGUUUACCUCAGCAAGGGAAUCAAUAUUCUAGUUGUGUCACAGUAACGUGUCUCUGAAUACUUGCAUUUCUUUUAGUCAACUGAGUUGUACCUCACUAGACUGCAAAGCUUGGGAUCGGUGAAACUAAAAUUAGUAUUUCAAGGCCGUAGAAACCACUGCAACACUUCACUCCUCUUCACUGGAGCCAGAAGACGACGAAGAGGACCCAUGAUGGAAGCCUUUGUGCAUCAUAUACCCUCCUCCAGCAAGGGCCCCCAUACCUGCCAGUGGUACACCAUAUUUCAUGGCUUUGCUCUGAAAAAUGGAGAGAAAAGGGUCCACUAAAAUAAAAAUACAUUCCUGUGUGUAAAUUAUUAAGUAAAAGCCACUGCAUGUAAUGA